AUGGAGUGGGCCGGCUGGCCAAUAAGAGCAGACUGGGCUUCGCCGGGAGGGAGGGGCCUUGAAGAGACAGGGACUUUCAGACAGAGGCUGAGAAGAGGAGCUGCAGGAAUGCAGUAUUCAUACACACAUCGUCAAACCAGUGACAAUGAGGAAGAUGAUGGGGCAGGAAGAAGAAGAAGAAGAAGAAGCAGAUAUGCAGAUAAAAGGAUUUUCCUCAGCAACCUUUAUCUCUGCAAUGUGUCACUCCCGACUUCAUUCAGUCGACGUUUGUUUGAAAUUUGCCCUGAAUUAUUCAUGGUCAUUUGGUUCAUGAAUGCUUUUAUGCAUAUUUGGUUGAUGAUGAAACACCACGUUGUGAAUGCAAAUAUUAGGGGGCGCCAUCAACUUUUCCUCAAAUGAGAACUUGGGAAUGUGAUUUACGGAGCUGAAUUGCUUCCUGUUAAUAAUCAAACAAUUUAAUUUCACAUUUAAAUAAACUUUUUUAAAUUUUAAAGGAUAGGCAGUCCCUUCAGGGAUGGCGCGAUCGCAACAAUCAUUACUAAUUAAACAAAAAACAAAUCCGAGCAUUUGAACGCGCAAAACCUUUCCGUCACUCACAUGAACUUAAAGUGUCUGGCACUUCCCUGUGGCUACUUUGCUCGUGAGGCCCUUUGCUUUCUCUUCCUGUUUGCUGUUGUUGUGUCCUUUUUUCUGCAGACCGUUUGUGUUGUGUUUAUGGUCCCUCAGCCGCCAAGGGGCUUCCAUCAGUUCAUUAGGACGACACGAUGCGUCUGAAGUCUGCGGAGCAAAGUAUUCCAUAAAACCUCUUCGGUGUGAACUCUGCCAGCGGCAACAGGAGGCUGCCCCCUUUCGCAGAUUAAAUAAAACCAGGGCCUCGGAGAGAUUCCAUGGUGUGGCUUUUUGAAAGAGAGCUCUGAUCCUCAAAAAAGAAGUUGAGGAAAGAGAAGCUCUGUAAAAUAAAUUAACUAUGAGGGCUAUUAAGGAAUAGGCAAACAGUGCUAUGCUUCCUCAAAUAAAGAGGCUUUGCCCGAAAUCUAAAUAAGUUGCGUCAUUCAUAUUUCUGUGGUCCGUUGAUAUCGUGACAACAUGUUCAGGUUACCAAACAUGUGUUUCCCUUUAAAAAAGACAGCAGUCAACAGUCUCCACCAGGUUUAAGAGGAAGAGGAAGAAAGUUUCCCACGUGAGUCCAACGGUGUAUGAGGUCUUUGACUGUUACACCCAACUAUUCACGUUCAUGUACAAGUGACUGCGUCUUUGCUCAAUGGACCAACGAGGCUGUAUUGUUAUAAUAACGUUGUAAUCAACAGAUAUAGGCAC
RNAcentral lists this long non-coding RNA (1317 nucleotides) under Scophthalmus maximus (turbot). Its description in RNAcentral is "lncRNA (ENSSMAG00000033590.1)". Lineage: Eukaryota; Metazoa; Chordata; Actinopteri; Pleuronectiformes; Scophthalmidae. The record is from RNAcentral.